This 240-nucleotide unclassified non-coding RNA is filed under the name soil metagenome. Its description in RNAcentral is "partial contains 5.8S ribosomal RNA, internal transcribed spacer 2, and large subunit ribosomal RNA". The record is from RNAcentral.
AAGACUAUAGACCUGCGGAGUACCUGCGGAGGGAUCAUUACCGAGUGCGGGCCCUCUGGGUCCAACCUCCCACCCGUGUUUAUUGUACCUUGUUGCUUCGGCGGGCCCGCCACUCUGGCCGCCGGGGGGCUUGCCCCCGGGCCCGCGCCCGCCGAAGACACCCUCGAACUCUGUCUGAAGAUUGUAGUCUGAGUGGAAUUAUAAAUUAUUAAAACUUUUAGCAACGGAUCUCUAGAUCGG